GCCAGGUGUGGUGGUGCAUGCCUGUAAUCCCAGUGGCUCAGGAGGCUAAAUCAGGAGGAUCAUGAGUUCAAAGAUGGCUCAGCAACAUCAAGAUGCUUAGCAACUCAGUGAGACCCUGUCUCUC
Molecule: small RNA, 124 nt
Filed under: Marmota monax (woodchuck)
Lineage: Eukaryota; Metazoa; Chordata; Mammalia; Rodentia; Sciuridae
Source: RNAcentral